AUUGAACGCUGGCGGCAUGCUUUACACAUGCAAGUCGAACGGUAACAGGCCGCAAGGUGCUGACGAGUGGCGAACGGGUGAGUAAUGCAUCGGAACGUGCCCAGUCGUGGGGGAUAACUACUCGAAAGAGUAGCUAAUACCGCAUACGAUCUAUGGAUGAAAGCGGGGGACCGUAAGGCCUCGCGCGAUUGGAGCGGCCGAUGUCAGAUUAGGUAGUUGGUGGGGUAAAGGCUCACCAAGCCAACGAUCUGUAGCUGGUCUGAGAGGACGACCAGCCACACGGGGACUGAGACACGGCCCAGACUCCUACGGGAGGCAGCAGUGGGGAAUUUUGGACAAUGGGCGCAAGCCUGAUCCAGCAAUGCCGCGUGCAGGAAGAAGGCCUUCGGGUUGUAAACUGCUUUUGUACGGAACGAAACGGCUCUGGUUAAUACCCGGGGCUAAUGACGGUACCGUAAGAAUAAGCACCGGCUAACUACGU
RNAcentral lists this ribosomal RNA (481 nucleotides) under uncultured bacterium. Its description in RNAcentral is "partial 16S ribosomal RNA". It matches the Rfam family "Bacterial small subunit ribosomal RNA", at positions 30 to 506 of the family's 1533-position model. The record is from RNAcentral.